UAAGCUCCUGAAGCCAUUUAUCAAGUGUUGUGUUUUUUUUCUUUUUUUAAAAGUCUAAACAUGAUCCCACUCUUCACAGUUGCUGUUCCAGAGAGAGGGGAAGUGACUCAGAGGUGGCUUUGCAGAGAACAGAUUUCUGACACUUGCCUCCCAAAUGCUGUCAAAAUCACACCCCUCGCAAAAGACAUGUAAGCUGAGCCGAAGGAUGCUGUUAACAGGCCUGCUACCGAAAAGAGUAUCCUAGGAGGGAAAAGCAAGAAAGGAACACUGUUUUCUGGGGUCCUAUCAACUGAGUGGUCUCUGUAUCCAACAAGGCUGCUUUUCCUGAUCAAAAGACAGUGUAUCUCCAAUGUGAAGGAACUGCCAAGGCGCCUGUUUACUGCAUCGUCUUAGGCUUCUCCCCAGUGUGUUUUCUGCCCAAGGCAAGAGGAAAUUUGCAUGCUGCAGAAAAUUAGCAACUGAUGCACAGACAUCAGUGGAAACAUGCUGACGAGAGUGUAUCGCUGCCCAGGAUUCUCACAACCACAUGCCGUUUCCAGAGCACAGAAGAGAUUUCUUUCGGGGAGCUGUACAAGUGCGGCAAUCAGACGUUCAGCCCGAUUUUUUGAUGGCAUACAUUUAUAAAAAUACCAUUUAGAAAGAAACUCAAACCCACUAC
This is a non-coding RNA of Peromyscus maniculatus bairdii (prairie deer mouse), 658 nucleotides long. The record is from RefSeq and is a predicted model, not a curated record. Lineage: Eukaryota; Metazoa; Chordata; Mammalia; Rodentia; Cricetidae.